AACGAACGCUGGCGGCAUGCCUAACACAUGCAAGUCGAACGAGACCUUCGGGUCUAGUGGCGCACGGGUGCGUAACGCGUGGGAACCUGCCCUUAGGUUCGGAAUAACUCCCCGAAAGGGGUGCUAAUACCGGAUAAUGUCUUCGGACCAAGGAUUUAUCGCCUUUGGAUGGGCCCGCGUUGGAUUAGCUAGUUGGUAGGGUAAAAGCCUACCAAGGCGACGAUCCAUAGCUGGUCUGAGAGGAUGAUCAGCCACACUGGGACUGAGACACGGCCCAGACUCCUACGGGAGGCAGCAGUGGGGAAUAUUGGACAAUGGGCGAAAGCCUGAUCCAGCAAUGCCGCGUGAGUGAUGAAGGCCUUAGGGUUGAAAAGCUCUUUUACCCGGGAUGAUAAUGACAGUACCGGGAGAAUAAGCUCCGGCUAACUCCGUG
RNAcentral lists this ribosomal RNA (433 nucleotides) under uncultured bacterium. RNAcentral's name for it is "partial 16S ribosomal RNA". It matches the Rfam family "Bacterial small subunit ribosomal RNA", at positions 29 to 507 of the family's 1533-position model. The record is from RNAcentral.